Molecule: ribosomal RNA, 372 nt
Filed under: uncultured organism
Description: partial 16S ribosomal RNA
Rfam family: Bacterial small subunit ribosomal RNA
Source: RNAcentral
GUAGGUGGCAAGCGUUGUCCGGAAUUAUUGGGCGUAAGCGCGCGCAGGCGGUUCUUUAAGUCUGAUGUGAAAGCCCACGGCUCAACCGUGGAGGGUCAUUGGAAACUGGAGAACUUGAGUACAGAAGAGGAAAGCGGAAUUCCACGUGUAGCGGUGAAAUGCGUAGAGAUGUGGAGGAACACCAGUGGCGAAGGCGGCUUUCUGGUCUGUAACUGACGCUGAGGCGCGAAAGCGUGGGGAGCAAACAGGAUUAGAUACCCUGGUAGUCCACGCCGUAAACGAUGAGUGCUAAGUGUUAGGGGGGUUUCCGCCCCCCUUAGUGCUGCAGCUAACGCAUUAAGCACUCCGCCUGGGAUACGGCCGCAAGGCUGA